GGCAGACUAGAGUGCGGUAGGGGAGAUUGGAAUUCCUGGUGUAGCGGUGGAAUGCGCAGAUAUCAGGAGGAACACCGAUGGCGAAGGCAGAUCUCUGGGCCGUAACUGACGCUGAGGAGCGAAAGGGUGGGGAGCAAACAGGCUUAGAUACCCUGGUAGUCCACCCCGUAAACGUUGGGAACUAGUUGUGGGGUCCAUUCCACGGAUUCCGUGACGCAGCUAACGCAUUAAGUUCCCCGCCUGGGGAGUACGGCCGCAAGGCUAAAACUCAAAGGAAUUGACGGGGACCCGCACAAGCGGCGGAGCAUGCGGAUUAAUUCGAUGCAACGCGAAGAACCUUACCAAGGCUUGACAUAUUCGAGAACGCCGUAGAAAUACGGAACUCUUUGGACACUCGUUUACAGGUGGUGCAUGGUUGUCGUCAGCUCGUGUCGUGAGAUGUUGGGUUAAGUCCCGCAACGAGCGCAACCCUCGUUCUAUGUUGCCAGCACGUAAUGGUGGGAACUCAUGGGAUACUGCCGGGGUCAACUCGGAGGAAGGUGGGGAUGACGUCAAAUCAUCAUGCCCCUUAUGUCUUGGGCUUCACGCAUGCUACAAUGGCCGGUACAAAGGGCUGCAAUACCGUGAGGUGGAGCGAAUCCCAAAAAGCCGGUCCCAGUUCGGAUUGAGGUCUGCAACUCGACCUCAUGAAGUCGGAGUCGCUAGUAAUCGCAGAUCAGCAACGCUGCGGUGAAUACGUUCCCGGGUCUUGUACACACCGCCCGUCAAGUCAUGAAAGUCGGUAACACCUGAAGCCGGU
RNAcentral lists this ribosomal RNA (799 nucleotides) under Microbacterium sp. RNAcentral describes it as "bacterial SSU rRNA". It matches the Rfam family "Bacterial small subunit ribosomal RNA", at positions 635 to 1431 of the family's 1533-position model. The record is from RNAcentral. Lineage: Bacteria; Bacillati; Actinomycetota; Actinomycetes; Micrococcales; Microbacteriaceae.